GAUGAACGCUGGCGGCGUGCCUAACACAUGCAAGUCGAGCGGCAGCGCGAGUAGUUUACUACUUGGCGGCGAGCGGCGGACGGCUGAGUAACGCGUGGGAACGUGCCCCAAAGUGAGGGAUAACUUCGAGAAAUCGGAGCUAAUACCGCAUAGUAUCUUCGGAUUAAAGAAUUUAUUCGCUUUGGGAGCGGCCCGCGUCGGAUUAGGUAGUUGGUGAGGUAAAGGCUCACCAAGCCGACGAUCCGUAGCUGGUCUGAGAGGAUGACCAGCCAGACUGGAACUGAGACACGGUCCAGACUCCUACGGGAGGCAGCAGUGAGGAAUCUUCCACAAUGGGCGAAAGCCUGAUGGAGCAACGCCGCGUGCAGGAUGAAGGCCUUCGGGUUGUAAACUGCUUUUAUAAGUGAAGAAUAUGACGGUAACUUAUGAAUAAGGAUCGGCUAACUACGUGCCAGCCGCCGCCGUAA
Molecule: ribosomal RNA, 467 nt
Filed under: uncultured bacterium
Lineage: Bacteria
Description: partial 16S ribosomal RNA
Rfam family: Bacterial small subunit ribosomal RNA
Source: RNAcentral